This 28-nucleotide non-coding RNA is filed under the name Mus musculus (house mouse). The record is from RNAcentral. Lineage: Eukaryota; Metazoa; Chordata; Mammalia; Rodentia; Muridae.
UGNGAAAUCUGUGUCCACUACUUGCCUU